This is a microRNA precursor of Danio rerio (zebrafish), 129 nucleotides long. Ensembl annotates it as microRNA 124-5. Its record names the gene mir124-5. The record is from Ensembl. NCBI's taxonomy places the organism in Eukaryota, Metazoa, Chordata, Actinopteri, Cypriniformes, Danionidae.
GGGUUUUGCUCGUGCGUUCUUUUUGAGUUCUCGCUCUGCGUGUUCACAGCGGACCUUGAUUUAAUGUCCAUACAAUUAAGGCACGCGGUGAAUGCCAAGAGAAGAAUCUCUCCAGCAACGAGUUUGCGC